UGGGGAAUAUUGCGCAAUGGGGGAAACCCUGACGCAGCGACGCCGUGUGAGGGAAGAAGGCCUUCGGGUCGUAAACCUCUGUCGGGAGGGAAGAACCGCCGGUUUCCGAACAGGGAGCCGGUCUGACAGUACCUCCGAAGGAAGCGCCGGCUAACUCCGUGCCAGCAGCCGCGGUAAUACGGAGGGCGCGAGCGUUAAUCGGAAUCACUGGGCGUAAAGCGCGCGUAGGCGGCUUUGUAAGUCGGGCGUGAAAGCCCUCGGCCCA
This 265-nucleotide ribosomal RNA is filed under the name uncultured bacterium. RNAcentral's name for it is "partial 16S ribosomal RNA". It matches the Rfam family "Bacterial small subunit ribosomal RNA", at positions 355 to 611 of the family's 1533-position model. The record is from RNAcentral.